Molecule: transfer RNA, 74 nt
Filed under: Bacteroidota bacterium
Lineage: Bacteria; Pseudomonadati; Bacteroidota
Also listed under: 1 other name
Description: tRNA-Glu
Rfam family: tRNA
About the family: Transfer RNA (tRNA) molecules are approximately 80 nucleotides in length. Their secondary structure includes four short double-helical elements and three loops (D, anti-codon, and T loops).
Source: RNAcentral
GGCGCGUUCGUCUAGAGGCUUAGGACGCCGCCCUCUCAAGGCGGAGAUCACCGGUUCGAAUCCGGUACGCGCUA